GACGAACGCUGGCGGCGUGCUUAACACAUGCAAGUCGAACGAUGAAGCGCCAGCUUGCUGGUGUGGAUUAGUGGCGAACGGGUGAGUAACACGUGAGUAACCUGCCCCCUACUCUGGGAUAAGCCUGGGAAACUGUGUCUAAUACUGGAUAUGACCAAUCACUGCAUGGUGUGUUGGUGGAAAGAUUUUUUGGUGGGGGAUGGACUCGCGGCCUAUCAGCUUGUUGGUGGGGUAAUGGCCUACCAAGGCGACGACGGGUAGCCGGCCUGAGAGGGCGACCGGCCACACUGGGACUGAGACACGGCCCAGACUCCUACGGGAGGCAGCAGUGGGGAAUAUUGCACAAUGGGCGAAAGCCUGAUGCAGCGACGCCGCGUGAGGGAUGACGGCCUUCGGGUUGUAAACCUCUUUCACCAGGGAAGAAGCUAACGUGACGGUACCUGGAGAAGAAGCACCGGCUAACUACGUG
Molecule: ribosomal RNA, 469 nt
Filed under: uncultured bacterium
Lineage: Bacteria
Description: partial 16S ribosomal RNA
Rfam family: Bacterial small subunit ribosomal RNA
Source: RNAcentral